CAGCGCAUUAGGAUUAUAGAAUAAGGAUAUUCGGGAACAUUUCAUUGACAUAGAAAAUAUUAACAGGGAUAAGUGGUGAAAAGGCCCUGCUCAAAUGAGCUUACAAUCUAGGAAGUACAUAAAUAUCAGUGAAUGCUUUUUAUCUCGAAAACUUCAUUUGCAGCUUGUGCUAUUUCAGAUCGGGGGGGAGGUUUAUCAAAG
Molecule: non-coding RNA, 201 nt
Organism: Pelobates cultripes (western spadefoot toad)
Lineage: Eukaryota; Metazoa; Chordata; Amphibia; Anura; Pelobatidae
Source: the annotation of a GenBank genome assembly